Molecule: long non-coding RNA, 572 nt
Organism: Ostrinia furnacalis (Asian corn borer)
Lineage: Eukaryota; Metazoa; Arthropoda; Insecta; Lepidoptera; Crambidae
Exons: 2
Source: RefSeq, a predicted model, not a curated record
GGGUCAUUUCGCCUGUUCGCGUCCAUCGCCCAGUUCGCGUCCAUUUUGCCGAUCUCCUUUUAAAAAUCCUCGAAAACAAGUCAACUAACACACCAAUCAAACGAAAAGUCAUUACCGCUAAUACGUCAAUGUAUAAGAGGCACGCACACAUAGACAAAAGUCCUGUGCGUCCAACCAUUCCUGUUUAGAAAAAUAGUUAGUCUCCGCUGUUCAACAAGGAAGCUCACAUGCGCUGCAUAUUUAGAUAAAAAUUAGUGUGCAGCGGCGUGUUUGAUGAUCCAGAUAAUGAUUGGAUAGCUAGUUACGAGCCGCGAAAGUUUAACAAAGGUACAAACCACGGUAAAAAUUUCAACUUGGAAUUCGAUUUAAAAAAAAUUAAAGAUGAUAGUGGAUUGCCAAUGAUCUUAAAAACAUCUCUAGCUUUUCUUCUUUCCAAUGAUAUGUCACGUCAUGUAGUAAUUAGAUAUUGAAAUUCGUCAAAAAUUCAAAGUUUAGGGAAGAAAAUGGAACAAUAAUACAAAAGUAGUUGAAUGGCUUCUUAACAUUUCUAAAUGUGGAUUUCCAGUAAAAAG